UUUAACAGAAGCCCCAGCUUUCUGAACCAAGACACUCAGCGUGGGGGUCCCCGGCCCAUAAAGCUUUCGAGAUGAUGUCUUUUUUUGUAAAGACUUUCCUGGUGACAUUUUCUGCGCGCUCCGUCAUUAACGCCAGUCACCGGCUGGGGUAAGGUGCUCCCCUGUUCCUGCCCGCCCCGCGCCCCGCGAACUGCACGCCCAGCCCCUGGAGAAGCUCUCAGGGACCCAAGGACAGCACCGACGACGAAAGACACAGCAAAAA
Molecule: long non-coding RNA, 262 nt
Organism: Bubalus bubalis (water buffalo)
Lineage: Eukaryota; Metazoa; Chordata; Mammalia; Artiodactyla; Bovidae
Exons: 2
Source: RefSeq, a predicted model, not a curated record